This 1945-nucleotide long non-coding RNA is filed under the name Malus domestica (apple). Its description in RNAcentral is "long non-coding RNA (MDOM_LNC014442)". Lineage: Eukaryota; Viridiplantae; Streptophyta; Magnoliopsida; Rosales; Rosaceae. The record is from RNAcentral.
UUUUUAAUAAGCAUUAUGUUGUUGGAUAUCAAAUGGGAGAAAAAGGUUUUACAUUUGGUUAAUCAGGUUGUAUGAAUGUGGGGUAUUCAUGUGUUGCUACUGUUGAGUUGUUUUUGGUGGCAUGUACGGUUUACAAUUGUGUUAAGGGGGUAUUAUUAUUGUUAAUUAUAUGAUAAUAUUGGUGGUAUGAUUUGUUUUUAAUGAGAAUUGAGUAUUAAUAGGCUCCGUUUAUGAUGCCAAACUCAACAUUUGAGAGACGGAGGUAGAAGUUUAAUUGGAACACUUUGUUAGUUUGUGUUACUAACAAAACAGUUGUGAUACUAAUCUAGAGCUACUUUCAUAUUGAUUCAUCAUCAUUGAUAAGUUUUCUUUGGACCCUAUAGAAAUCAUAAUUAACUAUUCACUAAUCUGCUGCUUUAUUGUCACUGACUCUUUAGAUUGGGAAGCACCAUAUUGUUUCCAAAUGAUUAGUUUGAUAGGUACUUAACAAUUUCCCAAGGCAUGAGGCACUUGCUUUUUUUUGUGUGUAAAAGACUAACACCAUGCGUCCAUGAUAACUAUUAUAAUUAAGAACCAAUUUGUUUAAAAAUACCUCAAUUAUUGAGAACGACAUAUAUGUCCAUGAUAACUAUUAUAAUUAAGAACCAAUUUGUUUAAAAAUACCUCAAUUAUUGAGAACGACAUAUAUGUCCGAUUAGUUUGAUUGAAACUAACAAUUGUUCAAAUUGCAAAGAAAAUGAAACAUUCUCUCUCUCCUCUUUUUCUCUCCUAUUGCAUUUGGGUUUAUCCCUGUUUCUUUUUUUGUUGAUCUAAUUUGGGGUGAAGUUGAAUUUUGGUUGAACUAGAAUGUGGGUUUAAUUGUGUUUGGUUUUAUUUGUCAAUUCUAUUUUCGUAUGAUUAGUGUGUGGUUUUUCAGACCUUUAUGGCCAUUUUGGGUCUGGCAAAGGUACUAAUUUUACUCUUCAUUCCACCACUUUCAUUUGAAUGCCUGGAAAAAUUUGGAAUUGAAAACAUGAUUGGGUUGUAUUAGUUUUUGUGAAGAUUACUUCUUGAUUUGAGGUGUGUGAAAAUAUAUUUUGAUGAUCAGGAGAUGAGAGUACAAGUUUUCGCUUCUAUCUGGACAUUCAAGAACCACCAAAUUGCAUUAUGUUUUCAUCACCGAAUUCAGGACAAGAAAGCUGUACAUGCCUCAUGUAUUACGUAUAAUCACUUGCUUACAUUUCUGUUUCUCAUUUGUACCUAAUUGGUUCAGAUUUUUGUUUUUUUAUAAAUAGUAAUAUGUUCUAUGACAAGCUGGCUCUGUUUCUGAUUUCAUUCUUAGUUUGGAUUUAUAUAUAAACCUGCAAGCAUGCAGUUGAUUAGUAUAUUUGGUGUUUUCCCUCUUAAUGGACAAACUUGCAGUUACAUAAUAUAUAAGUUUGGUACGAUCUGAUUAUUGUGUUUAUCUCAUUACUUCAACAGCACAAAAAAUCUCUCCUAAUUAAGCUAAGUAGUUAAGCGAAAGAAGCCCCCAUACCUACUUUUCUUUAUGUGUAUAUAAUUUUGGUAUAGACAAUUUCUAUUCCCGCAGCAACGCGCGGGUUUCAAUUUCUAGUAUCAUCUACAAGUAAACCAACAAUUGAAGGAGGAACGUCAUCCAAUAUGAUACACAGCCCAGGUGAAAAAAAAAAAAAAAAACUCAGGUCGUUCUAUUUCCUGGAGGAUCCUCUUUAUCAGCAUUCUGGGGAUCUUCAAAUCGUGUCAGUUUAUCGUAUAUCAUGCGAUCAGUUUUCGUUAGGUACUAUUUAUAUUUAAUUUAAAAUAAAAUUAUUUAAAAUGAUUUAUGAACGCACAAUAUACGAUGAACGUACAUGAUUUAAGGAUCCCAGGAUCUUCACAAAGAGGAUCAAGAAAGGAUCCUCAUUCGUUCUAUUUAGGGGCAGAACCUUUUUGUUCUAUCUUUUCC